This 525-nucleotide ribosomal RNA is filed under the name Amathia verticillata. Its description in RNAcentral is "partial 16S ribosomal RNA". It matches the Rfam family "Bacterial large subunit ribosomal RNA", at positions 1797 to 2621 of the family's 2925-position model. The record is from RNAcentral. Lineage: Eukaryota; Metazoa; Bryozoa; Gymnolaemata; Ctenostomatida; Vesiculariidae.
AGACUGUUUAACAAAAACAUAGCUUCUAGAAUUUAUUAGAAGUGUAAUCCUGCCCGGUGAAAGAAAUUUUUAACGGCCAUAACAUUGCUAAGGUAGCGUAAUCAGUUGUCCUUUUAUUGAGGACUAGUAUGAAAGGAAAAACGACGCUCAACUGUCUCUGUUAAUCUAUUAUAAAUUAAUUUUUAGGUGAAAAAGCCUAAAUUUUAUUAAAGGACGAGAAGACCCUAUAGAGUUUUAAUGCAAUGUUUAAAUUUUAUAAAAUAAUUGAAGCAAAGCGUUUUAGUUGGGGCAACAUAGGAACAUUUAAUUUCCUAUAUUUAAAUUUUAUAAUUUUAAAGAACACAAAUCCUUAAAAAGAAAAAGAAAAACUACCUUAGGGAUAACAGCGUAAUUUUUCUAAAGAGAUCUAAUCGAAAGAAAAGUUUGCGACCUCGAUGUUGGACUAAGGCAACAAAAUGGUGAAGAAACUAUUUAAAGAAGGCCUGUUCGGCCUAACAGCCUUACAUGAUUUGGUUCAUUCCGUAA